ACCUCGUAAGUUGAAAAGCAACUCUUCCAUUUUUUUAAUCUUAUAGCCAAAUUUCUUGUGUAUAUUCAUAUAUGAUGCAAAGGGUACGAAGAUGUCUUGUUGUUUUUCUUGAAGAUGAUGGUUUUCAUUGUUUCUCAUCUAUUAUUACCUUUUUGUUUUUUAAUGCAACGUCUCACAACAUUUUUUGUCAAAGCCAGAAAUAUAACAUAUAAUAAUAUUGUAAACAGUUUCAACAUGUCGAAUCAAGAAGAACGUGUGCAACCAACAAGCAAGCCAAAAUUUAUGU
Molecule: non-coding RNA, 286 nt
Organism: Camelina sativa (false flax)
Lineage: Eukaryota; Viridiplantae; Streptophyta; Magnoliopsida; Brassicales; Brassicaceae
Source: RefSeq, a predicted model, not a curated record